AUGUGGAACCUAAAAACUCUGCAAGGAGUACAGCUAUGGAUGUCAUUAAUCCUAGCUUAUGUUGUUUUUACAGAUCCAGUGCAGGACUUUCAUCUUAAAAGACUGCCAACCAAGCAAUAUGAGAGAAUGCUGGUGAGGGGCAGGCAAGAAAGAAAGAAAGAAAGAAAGAAAGAAAGAAAGAAAGGAAGGAAGGAAAGAGAAAGAAAGAAAGGAAGGAAAGAGAAAGAAAGAAAGAAAGAAAGAAAGGAAGGAAAGAGAAAGAAAGAAAGGAAGGAAAGAGAAAGAAAGAAAGGAAGGAAAGAGAAAGAAAGAAAGGAAGGAAAGAGAAAGAAAGAAAGGAAGGAAAGAGAAAGAAAGAAAGGAAGGAAAGAGAAAGAAAGAAAGGAAGGAAAGAGAAAGAAAGAAAGAAAGAAGAAAGAAAGAAAAGAAAGAAAGAAAGAAGAAAGAAAGAAAGAAGAAAAGAAGAAAGAAAGAAAGAAAGAAAGAAAGAAAGAAAGAAAGAAAGAAGAAAAGAGAAAGAAAGAAAGAAGAAAGAAAGAAGAAAGAAAGAAAGAAAGAGAAAGAAAGAAAGAAAAGGAAGAGGAAAGAAAAAGAGAAAGAAAGAAAGAAAGAGAAGGAAGAAAGAAGAAAGAGAAAGAAGAAAGAAAAAGAGAGAAAGAAGAAAGAAGGAAAAGAAAGAAAGGAAGAGAAAGAAAGGAAAGAAAGAAAGAAAGAAGAAAGAAAGGAAAGAGAAAAAAAGAAAGAAGGAAGGAAAGGAAAGAAAGAAGAAAGAAAGAAAGAAAGAAAGAAAGAAAGAAAGAAAGAGAAAGAAAGAAAGAAGAAAGAAAGAGAAAGAAAGAAAGAAAGAGAAAGAAAGAAAGAAAGAAAGAAGAAAGAAGAGAAAGAAAGAAAGGGAAAGAAAAGAAAGAAAGAAAGAGAAAGAAAGAAGAAAGAAAGAAAGAAGAAAGAAAGAAAGAAAGAAAGAAAGAAAGAAAGAAAGAAAGAAAGAAAGAAAGAAAGAAAGAAAGAAAGAAAGAAAGAAAGAAAGAAAGAAAAAGAAAGAAAGAAAAAAAGAAAGAAAAGAGUCCUGGAGAGGAGACUCUGGAAAGCUUUAAGAGUUCCAGAUUUUUGCAUAAUGCGCUGGCAGACCCCUGA
Molecule: long non-coding RNA, 1134 nt
Filed under: Podarcis muralis (Common wall lizard)
Lineage: Eukaryota; Metazoa; Chordata; Lepidosauria; Squamata; Lacertidae
Description: lncRNA (ENSPMRG00000013477.1)
Source: RNAcentral